GCUGGAAUCGCUAGUAAUCGCGAAUCAGAAUGUCGCGGUGAAUACGUUCCCGGGUCUUGUACACACCGCCCGUCACACCAUGGGAGGUCGGAAAUGCCCGAAGUCAGUGACCUAACCGAAAGGGAGGAGCUGCCGAAGGUGGAGCCGGUAACUGGGGUGAAGUCGUAACAAGGUAAC
RNAcentral lists this ribosomal RNA (177 nucleotides) under uncultured bacterium. Its description in RNAcentral is "partial 16S ribosomal RNA". It matches the Rfam family "Bacterial small subunit ribosomal RNA", at positions 1325 to 1500 of the family's 1533-position model. The record is from RNAcentral.